This 72-nucleotide transfer RNA is filed under the name Candidatus Kaiserbacteria bacterium. Its description in RNAcentral is "tRNA-Arg". It matches the Rfam family "tRNA". Rfam says of the family: Transfer RNA (tRNA) molecules are approximately 80 nucleotides in length. Lineage: Bacteria; Candidatus Kaiseribacteriota. The record is from RNAcentral.
GCUCCCGUCGUUCAACGGAUAGGACGCAGGCUUGCGGAGCCUGUAAUGGUGGUUCGAUUCCUCCCGGGAGCA